CUUAGAGGGAGUGUUUGGCUCCUGGCUCUCACGGGUACAGGUACAGGGUUCGAUUCUGGAGAAGGAGCCUGAGAACGGCUACUACAUCUACGGAAGGCAGCAGGCGCGUAAUUACCCAUUUUUUCUACCCAGGGAGGUGGUGACAAGAUAUAACGACGCGGUUAUUAUCGCGAUUGUAGUGAGUGUAUUCUAAACAGAACCUAUAGUACGAUUAGAGGGCAAGUCUGGUGCCAGCAGCCGCGGUAAUUCCAGCUCUAAUAGCGUAUAUUAAAGUUGCUGCAGUUAAAAAGCUCGUAGUUGGAUUUCAAGGAUUGUAGAACCUCCACGGGGAUAUAUUCUUAUUUGUCUUCGGACCGUUACUGUGAGAAAAUUAGAGUGUUUAAAGCAGCUCAUGCAGAUACAUUAGCAUGGAAUAACGAAUGAGUCUAGAAUCUUGGUUAAUUCAGGGGCUCGAGUAGAGAGACAGAUGGGGGCAGCAGAUAAUGCAGAGGUGAAUUCUUGGAUUUGUCAACGACUUAUCUUAUUGCGAAGCAUUGCAAGGAUGUUUCAUUAUCAGACCGCAACGCACACGCGCGCAUCAAGACAUCAGAUACUGUCGUAGUCCUAUCUAUAACUAUGCGACUAGGAUUGAUGGUAUUUACCAUUUCAGUACCUUAUGAAAAUCAAGUCUUUGGGUUCUGGGGGGAGUAUGUCCCAGACUGAACUUACGAUUGACGAGACCACAGAUGGACUGCGCUAUUGACCAACGGACUACAGUCGACAUGAGAUGACAAUGAGCCUUUGAUCUUGGGGGGGCAUGGCCGUCUAUUGGGAGAUUUCUGGUAUUCGAUACCACAGACCUACGUUAUAUUGG
Molecule: ribosomal RNA, 853 nt
Filed under: uncultured rumen protozoa
Lineage: Eukaryota
Description: bacterial SSU rRNA
Rfam family: Eukaryotic small subunit ribosomal RNA (bases 1-748)
Source: RNAcentral